Non-coding RNA from Acanthosepion pharaonis, 93 nucleotides. The record is from the annotation of a GenBank genome assembly. NCBI's taxonomy places the organism in Eukaryota, Metazoa, Mollusca, Cephalopoda, Sepiida, Sepiidae.
AUCCCCGGUUCCCAUACGAUCACCGAAGUUAAGCAACGUCGAGCCUGGUCAGUACUUUGAUAGGUGACCGCACGGGAAUAUCAACUGUUGUAA